UUUAUGGGGUCAUGUCGGACCGUUGUAGAAGACAUUGUUGUGACAGUUUACGGAGUCUUGCUGGACCCUUGUAGAAACUAACCGGAAUCUAUGUCGGGACAGUUUACAGAGUCUUGUCGGACCCAUAAAAAAUCGCAUCCUCAAAAGGUGCGCUCAAUUUUUCAAAAGGCGUGCCAUCAAAAGGCGUGCCAUCAAAAGGUGUGUCCAGGUUGGCGUCGAGCGCCGAGCGGCGCAUGAUGCGCGUGUCUGCCUCUUCGUCAGGGUCUUUAUAAACUGAGGCGGAGGCUGUGCUUGAGGCAGAAGCGAAGACAAAAAAAAA
Non-coding RNA from Camellia sinensis, 319 nucleotides. NCBI's taxonomy places the organism in Eukaryota, Viridiplantae, Streptophyta, Magnoliopsida, Ericales, Theaceae. The record is from RefSeq and is a predicted model, not a curated record.